UGCAGUUAGCCACGUCAGCAGAGUGGUACUAUAUAAACAGAAGCAAGAAGUCUCUCAUUUAGAAUCAUCGAAAAAGAUCGAUAAAGAGUUUGUUAGAGUUUCUUCUUCCUUUUCUCUGUGGUUUCUUGGGAAUUUUCUAGGAAAAUCUCCUCAUUGUUGUUCUCGAGUGUUGUUUCUAAUUCUAAGCUCUUCACACUGUGAGAGAGUUGGAUUGGUGUUUUAUGAACGUCAAUUCAAUUGCUCUACUAUUCAUCAUCUUCACCAAUACAGUUUAUCUGUAUCAGUGGUCUCAGAGCCAGUCGAGUUCAGCGAUUGAAGAGAUGCCGAUGACUAAGCCUACAGUUUCGGAAUCGCACCGCAUCAGAUCCAGAGAAUGAAAACAGUGAUUCUGUCGAUUGUAAUUUGCUUGAGAAACCAAUUCAAUUCAUGAAACAGAAAUAAAUGGAGGAGUUUAAAACAGAGAGGUACCAAACUCUCUUCUGGAACCAAGCCCUAGGGUAGAGAAAAUUGCAAUCUGCCUUUGCUUAAGAACAUUAAGUAGCUCACAGCCUCUAUUCAUUGAUUCACAUAAACUUGGUGUUUGGACUGCUCCUAAAGUAGACCAAAUAUACAUUUUAGAGAGAGAGAGGAACUGAUUCAGAAGGCAGUAGUAGAACGUGUUGAGUUUGAUGCACAUCAGUUGUCUGAUGAAAUGUUGCUGAGAGUUUGUUUUAAGAUGAAUCAGAGAGGAGGUAUCAAAAAGACUGGACUUUCAAGUACAAGCUUAAGGAACCAAGGCAGGCAGCAUUGGUUUUCACAGAGAAGAAAGAGCUUCAGGUGGUUGUUUACUGACACUAUCAAUGAUGGUUUUGGAUGGGAUAACUUUUGUGGUUUGUUUUCAUCAAGAGUUGCCAAGUGUUUGUGCUACUGAUGAGAAUAUGGUUCCUUCUCACUGAAAACGUGUGGCCAAACACCAUUGCACAAGUCAUGAGCCAUUGGACUGUGAUUCCAUUGGAAAUGGUUUUAUAGCUUCUCGUACAAGGUUGCAGCAAAACAGAGAAGUCCUUUCAUGGUGGGCUAACUUAGCGAGAGACAUAGAUGAAGUGUUACAGCCAUAUAGUUCUGGGAUCUUUCUGUGCCUGCAUUGCAGCAAACUUUGAUCACUGGAACCCAAGAGUCUUAUACAGUUUGAUUUGAUGAGUUUCAGGUCAGUAAAGAGAAUGGGUUCUGGAGCUUAGCUUCAAAAUGUAGAGGCUAAAUAGAAGAUCACCAUCAUCUGAAUCAAGACACUUAUUUGUGCGUGUUGUUUACGUUCAUACAAACUGUCUAUGAGAGGGAACAUGGUGCCGUGAGAGUGUGAUUGCUUUGUGCAGACAAACUUCUGCAGUGUCAGUGUUGAAAUAUGCUGAUAUUUGUGACGUGUUGCAAUGGUUAGUUUUGUUCCAAGCCUAUGGUGUUCAUAAACUCAAUGAAAGAAGGGUCAUGAAGUAGAAGGGAGAAUGAUGUACAUAGACAAUUUCUAUGAGUUUCAUCCUAACCUUGUGGUCAAGGUUUUCAGUUUAUCUGUAUCAUCGAGCUAGCUACACCACCAGACCCAGAGACCCUUGUAUUGAUCUGAACCGAGCCGAGCCAAACAACACAAGCGUAGUGGCUACAACCGUCUUUGCAACCAGUGAUCCCAGACCUUGCUUCAAAAUGUCUAGCAAUUUCACCACCACCUUCUCACUGGAGUCCCGAACCCGUGUUAAAAUCAGGGUGGCUUCCACUGGCACGACCGUAUAGAAGCUGAGACAUAUCAAUAAAGAUUUUUUACUUAAGCUUUGUUCUUUUGGUCGAAGCUGCCGCAGCUUCAUGCGUCAAAGAAAAUACAAAGAAAACAGUUUAUUUUACGGGAUCCUCAUUUAAUUGAUGUCCCUGCGUUUUGUAAAAAACAAUCGCGUCCUCCAUUUUUUCCGACGCUAGAUUUCACAGCGUCACAAAUCUCUAUAAAUUUUAGGUUGCGGUACUGUUAACGUCUAUUCUAUAAACACUGAAAGUAAAGAUUCAUUCACGAUAAAAGCCGUGUCCUUUGUAUUUUUUUUGACGCCGGACGCUGCGGCAGCAUCUACCAAAAGAACACGGCUUUAACAUGGAGAGGUGUGUUUUUAGAAUGGAUCAAUACAAAAGUUGGAUUUAACUAAAGUGCUGUUCGUUUGGUUGCCGUAGGUCCAGCGUCUGCGUAUGCGGCAAUGAUUUUUGCAGCAAGUUUGUUCGUUUCAUCAACGUCGAUACGUGCGUCUGUGUCUAAACGCCAACACCUGCGUCUAAACGCCAACACCUGCGUCAGACGCCGAGAAAAUCCCGCGGUCGCGACUAAUAACCAGCGUCUACUUAACCUAUUUACUAUUUUACCCUUAACCUAAUUCACUAAUUACAAAAAAACCUAAGCUAUUUUGACGCAGACACGGCUCUCUUCUCCAUUGACGCCCCUGCCUUAUCUUCUCCAUCUCUCUCCAUCGAUCUCAGACCCAUCUCUCUCGAUCUCAAACCCAACCCAGCUCUCUCUCUCUCUCUCGAACCCAGCUCUCUCUCGAUCUCUCGAUCUCUUGAAACUCAUCUCAUCUCACUCUCUCAAUAAGCAUUGAGGAGCAGCAACAUUGAUACAACAUUUUCUCCAAAAGAAAAAAAAACAUUGAUACAAACAACAUCUGGAGA
Raphanus sativus (radish) is the source of this 2673-nucleotide long non-coding RNA. RefSeq lists it as uncharacterized. The transcript is spliced from 2 exons. The record is from RefSeq and is a predicted model, not a curated record. Lineage: Eukaryota; Viridiplantae; Streptophyta; Magnoliopsida; Brassicales; Brassicaceae.